RNAcentral lists this ribosomal RNA (253 nucleotides) under uncultured bacterium. Its description in RNAcentral is "partial 16S ribosomal RNA". It matches the Rfam family "Bacterial small subunit ribosomal RNA", at positions 524 to 776 of the family's 1533-position model. The record is from RNAcentral.
UACGUAGGGCGCAAGCGUUGUCCGGAAUUAUUGGGCGUAAAGAGCUCGUAGGCGGUCUGUCGCGUCGGCUGUGAAAACCCGAGGCUCAACCUCGGGCCUGCAGUCGAUACGGGCAGACUAGAGUGCUGUAGGGGAGACUGGAAUUCCUGGUGUAGCGGUGAAAUGCGCAGAUAUCAGGAGGAACACCGGUGGCGAAAGCGGUGCACUGGUGGAUUACUGACGCUGAGGUGCGAAAGCCAGGGGAGCAAACGGG